RNAcentral lists this ribosomal RNA (253 nucleotides) under uncultured bacterium. RNAcentral describes it as "partial 16S ribosomal RNA". It matches the Rfam family "Bacterial small subunit ribosomal RNA", at positions 524 to 776 of the family's 1533-position model. The record is from RNAcentral.
UACGGAGGGGGCUAGCGUUGUUCGGAAUUACUGGGCGUAAAGCGCACGUAGGCGGCUUUGUAAGUUAGAGGUGAAAGCCCGGGGCUCAACUCCGGAAUUGCCUUUAAGACUGCAUCGCUAGAAUUGUGGAGAGGUAAGUGGAAUUCCGAGUGUAGAGGUGAAAUUCGUAGAUAUUCGGAAGAACACCCGUGGCGAAGGCGGCUCUCUGGGACGGUACUGACGCUGAGACGCGAAAGCGUGGGGAGCGAACAGG